GUCCACGCCCUAAACGAUGUCAACUAGUCGUUCGGAGCAGCAAUGCACUGAGUGACGCAGCUAACGCGUGAAGUUGACCGCCUGGGGAGUACGGCCGCAAGGUUAAAACUCAAAGGAAUUGACGGGGACCCGCACAAGCGGUGGAUGAUGUGGAUUAAUUCGAUGCAACGCGAAAAACCUUACCUACCCUUGACAUGUCUGGAACCUUGGUGAGAGCCGAGGGUGCCUUCGGGAGCCAGAACACAGGUGCUGCAUGGCUGUCGU
RNAcentral lists this ribosomal RNA (264 nucleotides) under uncultured bacterium. RNAcentral's name for it is "partial 16S ribosomal RNA". It matches the Rfam family "Bacterial small subunit ribosomal RNA", at positions 793 to 1055 of the family's 1533-position model. The record is from RNAcentral.